This 190-nucleotide small nucleolar RNA is filed under the name Dasypus novemcinctus (nine-banded armadillo). RNAcentral describes it as "Small nucleolar RNA SNORA73 family (ENSDNOG00000028080.1)". It matches the Rfam family "Small nucleolar RNA SNORA73 family". From Rfam's summary of the family: U17 (SNORA73A and SNORA73B) also known as E1 belongs to the H/ACA class of small nucleolar RNAs (snoRNAs). Lineage: Eukaryota; Metazoa; Chordata; Mammalia; Cingulata; Dasypodidae. The record is from RNAcentral.
CCAACGUGGAUACCCAGGGAGAUCACUCUCCCCAGGCUCUGUCCAGGUGGCGCAAGGGAGCAGAGGGCUCAGCCCAGUGAUGUGCAGUCCCAUUCCACAACGUUGCAGAUGAAGUCGGACUCUCAAGCCUGCACCCGCAUCUUCCUACAGCUUCUCAGAGUCCUGUGGACAAACCACGCAGGAAACAGUU